Non-coding RNA from Phrynosoma platyrhinos (Desert horned lizard), 73 nucleotides. Lineage: Eukaryota; Metazoa; Chordata; Lepidosauria; Squamata; Phrynosomatidae. The record is from the annotation of a GenBank genome assembly.
GGCAGAAUGUUGUAGUGGUGUGAGUGCUGGACUAAGACUCAAAGAGGCCAGGGUUCAAAUCCUUGCUUAGCCA